This 479-nucleotide ribosomal RNA is filed under the name uncultured Rheinheimera sp. Its description in RNAcentral is "bacterial SSU rRNA". It matches the Rfam family "Bacterial small subunit ribosomal RNA", at positions 145 to 619 of the family's 1533-position model. The record is from RNAcentral. Lineage: Bacteria; Pseudomonadati; Pseudomonadota; Gammaproteobacteria; Chromatiales; Chromatiaceae.
ACCAGUUGGAAACGACUGUUAAUACCGCAUAAUGUCUACGGACCAAAGUGUGGGACCUUCGGGCCACAUGCUAUCGGAUGCGCCUACGUGGGAUUAGCUAGUUGGUGAGGUAAUGGCUCACCAAGGCGACGAUCUCUAGCUGGUUUGAGAGGAUGAUCAGCCACACUGGAACUGAGACACGGUCCAGACUCCUACGGGAGGCAGCAGUGGGGAAUAUUGGACAAUGGGCGCAAGCCUGAUCCAGCCAUGCCGCGUGUGUGAAGAAGGCCUUCGGGUUGUAAAGCACUUUCAGCGAGGAGGAAGGGUUGGUAGUUAAUAGCUGCCAAUUUUGACGUUACUCGCAGAAGAAGCACCGGCUAACUCUGUGCCAGCAGCCGCGGUAAUACAGAGGGUGCAAGCGUUAAUCGGAAUUACUGGGCGUAAAGCGCACGUAGGCGGUUGGUUAAGUUGGAUGUGAAAGCCCCGGGCUCAACCUGGGA